This 333-nucleotide ribosomal RNA is filed under the name uncultured bacterium. RNAcentral's name for it is "bacterial SSU rRNA". It matches the Rfam family "Bacterial small subunit ribosomal RNA", at positions 568 to 898 of the family's 1533-position model. The record is from RNAcentral.
CGCGUAGGCGGGAUGGCAAGUCGGUCGUGAAAUCCUUCGGCUCAACCGAAGAACGUCGAUCGAUACUGCUGUUCUUGAGGGUUGCAGAGGAGACUGGAAUUCCCGGUGUAGCGGUGAAAUGUGUAGAGAUCGGGAGGAACACCGGUGGCGAAGGCGGGUCUCUGGGCAACUCCUGACGCUGAGGCGCGAAAGCGUGGGGAGCAAACGGGAUUAGAUACCCCGGUAGUCCACGCUGUAAACGAUGACGACUAGGUGUGGGGGGGGUUCAGUCCCUUCCGUGCCGCAGCUAACGCAUUAAGUCGUCCGCCUGGGGAGUACGGCCGCAAGGUUGAA